GAAAUUUCUCAUUACGAAAAACUACACGAUUUUUGAUUUACAGCACCACGAAAUUUCAAAAUUCAUUUUAGUUUUCUUCUUUAGAAAAAAAAUUCUCUCAAAUCCUCUCCCCCUUUUCAAUCUCCGGUCGUUGGGCUGCCAGCCGUCCGCCGGCUACGGUCGAUGGUGCCGCCGUCCACAGUGGCCGGAGAGCCCAAAAGUCAAUUUUUUUCUUCCUUUCACCCUCCUAGAAUCCAAUCUAGGGUUAGUUUUUCUAGAAAAUGGCAAAAAAAUCGCCGAAAUAGGCAAAGGGCACUUCGGUUUUUUUUGGGGUUCUAAAAUUUUUUUCAGGAUGACAGGGGGUCACCGUUCAUCAGCGGUGACAACCUCGCCGCUCAUGGUGUUGAAAACCCGAAUACCAGGUGAGUCUCCUCUCCAUUUUCCUUCUUUUUUAUAUGUGCUUCUAUAUAUUUAAAAUAUAACAGAAGCCAAACGAAAGUAAUCACCCUUUUGUUUUUUUUUAUAUUCGAUUUCUAUUUUUUAUUCGAUUUUCUGUGAAAAAAAGGAAGAAGGAACAUCGAUGUUGCUGUAGCUUUUUUAUAGCCGAAAUUACAAAACUAAUUGUUUCUAUUUUUUUGUUUUUUCUUUGUUGUCUUUUUCUUCUUGCGUGUUUUGCUCUGUUGCGUGUUCGUCCUUAUUUGCAGGUGGCGGUGGAGCAAGUAAUGACGUUGGCAUGGCGAUUUCAGCAGGCUAGGAGCGGCGCAGUGCCAGGCUACAGGGCUAGGUUUUUUUUCUGAAAACUUUAAGUUUGUGGGCUUCAGAAUUUGGGUUAGGGGUUUUUAUUUUUGGGUUUGGGCUGUUUGAUUGAGUUAAUUUUGGGUCAUUGGGUUUUGGGUUAUUUAUUUAUUUUUGGUUGGUUUUCUGGCGGGCCGAACAAAUUUAGGCCUGUACAGUAACAUCUCUUAAACUAUUCAACUCAUAAUCUAGAUUCACUAAAUUGAAGAGUAUUUACAACAAUUUCCACGCACAAAUAGUGCAUUUCGACCUUUCUUAAACCACGAAAUUUCUCAUUACGAAAAACCACACGAUUUUUGAUUUACAGCACCACUAGUUUGAAAAACAAAAAGCAAAAAAAAAAUGAUCUUACUUUUCUUUCACCUAGAAAUUACUUGUCGUCUUUUCAGCAUUGUUCUAAUAAAG
RNAcentral lists this long non-coding RNA (1179 nucleotides) under Gossypium barbadense (sea-island cotton). RNAcentral's name for it is "long non-coding RNA (GBAR_LNC009590)". Lineage: Eukaryota; Viridiplantae; Streptophyta; Magnoliopsida; Malvales; Malvaceae. The record is from RNAcentral.